Molecule: long non-coding RNA, 341 nt
Filed under: Citrus x clementina
Lineage: Eukaryota; Viridiplantae; Streptophyta; Magnoliopsida; Sapindales; Rutaceae
Description: Citrus clementina (C. clementina) long non-coding RNA (CCLE_LNC006604)
Source: RNAcentral
UUAAUUUUAAAAAUUAGAUUUUAAAAUGUUAUUCCUUACUUGUUUUUUAAAAUCUAUUGUAGAAGGGUGAUUUUACUAAAAGUGAUAUUAAAAAAUAGAAAAAUUAUCAGUCGUCUAUCUUAAUGGUGUGUUUACUUAUUGAGAAUGAGAAUGAGAAUUAGAAAAUGAGAAUCAACAAAUAAGAAUGAAUGAUGUGUUUAUUUGAUUAAAUAAGAGGUGAAAUGAGAAUCAAAGUGAUGGACCCCACCUAAAAUUUGGAAUGAUUACUAGAGUUCUCAUUCCCAUGGGAGGAGAUGGGAAUGAGAUUCUUAUUUCCUAAAGUGGCUAUAUUACCCUCUCUU